CAGCAAUACCGCGUGUGUGAAGAAGGCCUUAGGGUUGUAAAGCACUUUCAAUUGGGAGGAAAACCUGUCGGUCAAUACCCGGCAGCUUGACAUUACCUUUAGAAGAAGCACCGGCUAACUCCGUGCCAGCAGCCGCGGUAAUACGGAGGGUGCAAGCGUUAAUCGGAAUUACUGGGCGUAAAGCGUGCGUAGGCGGUUCGUUAAGUCAGAUGUGAAAGCCCCGGGCUUAACCUGGGAACUGCAUUUGAAACUGGCGGACUUGAGUUGAGUAGAGGGGAGUGGAAUUUCAGGUGUAGCGGUGAAAUGCGUAGAUAUCUGAAGGAACACCAGUGGCGAAGGCGACUCCCUGGACUCAAACUGACGCUGAGGUACGAAAGCGUGGGUAGCAAACAGGAUUAGAUACCCUGGUAGUCCACGCUGUAAACGAUGUCAACUAGCCGUUGGUCCUAUUUACAGGAUUAGUGGCGCAGCUAACGCAUUAAGUUGACCGCCUGGGGAGUACGGCCGCAAGGUUAAAACUCAAAUGAAUUGACGAG
This 536-nucleotide ribosomal RNA is filed under the name uncultured bacterium. RNAcentral's name for it is "bacterial SSU rRNA". It matches the Rfam family "Bacterial small subunit ribosomal RNA", at positions 389 to 917 of the family's 1533-position model. The record is from RNAcentral.